Molecule: ribosomal RNA, 400 nt
Filed under: uncultured bacterium
Lineage: Bacteria
Description: bacterial SSU rRNA
Rfam family: Bacterial small subunit ribosomal RNA
Source: RNAcentral
UGGGGAAUAUUGGACAAUGGGCGAAAGCCUGAUCCAGCGAUGUCGCGUGAGUGAUGAAGGCCUUCGGGUUGUAAAGCUCUUUUGUCGGGGAAGAUAAUGACGGUACCCGAAGAAUAAGUGCCGGCAAACUUCGUGCCAGCAGCCGCGGUAAUACGAAGGGCACAAGCGUUACUCGGAAUCACUGGGCGUAAAGAGUGCGUAGGCUGUAUUAUAAGUUAGAUGUGAAAUCCUUGGGCUCAACCUGAGAACUGCAUUUAAAACUAUAAUACUGGAGUAUGGUAGAGGACAAUGGAAUUUCCGGUGGAGGGGUAAAAUCCGUAGAUAUCGGAAGGAACACCGAAAGCGAAGGCAUUUGUCUGGGCCAUUACUGACGCUGAUGCACGAAAGCGUGGGGAGCCAA